GGAAUGUAGCUCAGUGGUAAAGCACUCACCUAACAGGUGUGAGGUCCUGGGUUCAAUCCCCAGUACCA
RNAcentral lists this transfer RNA (68 nucleotides) under Marmota monax (woodchuck). Its description in RNAcentral is "tRNA.Val". The stretch from base 5 to 65 matches the Rfam family "tRNA", at positions 6 to 65 of the family's 71-position model. From Rfam's summary of the family: Transfer RNA (tRNA) molecules are approximately 80 nucleotides in length. Their secondary structure includes four short double-helical elements and three loops (D, anti-codon, and T loops). Further hydrogen bonds mediate the characteristic L-shaped molecular structure. tRNAs have two regions of fundamental functional importance: the anti-codon, which is responsible for specific mRNA codon recognition, and the 3' end, to which the tRNAs corresponding amino acid is attached (by aminoacyl-tRNA synthetases). tRNAs cope with the degeneracy of the genetic code in two manners: having more than one tRNA (with a specific anti-codon) for a particular amino acid; and 'wobble' base-pairing, i.e. permitting non-standard base-pairing at the 3rd anti-codon position. Lineage: Eukaryota; Metazoa; Chordata; Mammalia; Rodentia; Sciuridae. The record is from RNAcentral.